CGUCAUGUGUCUUCUCAGUCAUGUUGACACUGGUCUACUACCAGGUCAUGUGUCUUCUCAGUCAUGUUGACACUGGUCUACUACCAGGUCAUGUGUCUUCUCAGUCAUGUUGACACUGGUCUACUACCAGGUCAUGUGUCUUCUCAGUCAUGUUGACACUGGUCUACUACCAGGUCAUGUGUCUUCUCAGUCAUGUUGACACUGGUCUACUACCAGGUCAUGUGUCUUCUCAGUCAUGUUGACACUGGUCUACUACCAGGUCAUGUGUCUUCUCAGUCAUGUUGACACUGGUCUACUACCACGUCAUGUGUCUUCUCAGUCAUGUUGACACUGGUCUACUACCAGGUCAUGUGUCUUCUCAGUCAUGUUGACACUGGUCUACUACCAGGUCAUGUGUCUUCUCAGUCAUGUUGACACUGGUCUACUACCAGGUCAUGUGUCUUCUCAGUCAUGUUGACACUGGUCUACUACCAGGUCAUGUGUCUUCUCAGUCAUGUUGACACUGGUCUACUACCAGGUCAUGUGUCUUCUCAGUCAUGUUGACACUGGUCUACUACCAGGUCAUGUGUCUUCUCAGUCAUGUUGACACUGGUCUACUACCAGGUCAUGUGUCUUCUCAGUCAUGUUGACACUGGUCUACUACCAGGUCAUGUGUCUUCUCAGUCAUGUUGACACUGGUCUACUACCAGGUCAUGUGUCUUCUCAGACAUGUUGACACCGGUCUACUACCAGGUCAUGUGUCUUCUCAGUCAUGUUGACACUGGUCUACUACCACGUCAUGUGUCUUCUCAGUCAUGUUGACACUGGUCUACUACCAGGUCAUGUGUCUUCUCAGACAUGUUGACACUGGUCUAGUACCAGGUCAUGUGUCUUUUCAGUCAUGUUGACACUGGUCUAGUACCAGGUCAUGUGUCUUUUCAGUCAUGUUGACACUGGUCUACUACCAGGUCAUGUGUCUUCUCAGUCAUGUUGACACUGGUCUAGUACCAGGUCAUGUGUCUUUUCAGUCAUGUUGACACUGGUCUACUACCAGGUCAUGUGUCUUCUCUGUCAUGUUGACACUGGUCUACUACCAGGUCAUGUGUCUUCUCAGUCAUGUUGACACU
Long non-coding RNA from Oncorhynchus keta (chum salmon), 1106 nucleotides. RefSeq lists it as uncharacterized. NCBI's taxonomy places the organism in Eukaryota, Metazoa, Chordata, Actinopteri, Salmoniformes, Salmonidae. The transcript is spliced from 4 exons. The record is from RefSeq and is a predicted model, not a curated record.